UGGGGAAUAUUGCACAAUGGGCGAAAGCCUGAUGCAGCAACGCCGCGUGAGUGAUGAAGGUCUUCGGAUUGUAAAGCUCUGUCUUUUGGGACGAUAAUGACGGUACCAAAGGAGGAAGCCACGGCUAACUACGUGCCAGCAGCCGCGGUAAUACGUAGGUGGCGAGCGUUGUCCGGAUUUACUGGGCGUAAAGGGUGCGUAGGCGGAUGUUUAAGUGAGAUGUGAAAUACCCGGGCUUAACUUGGGUGCUGCAUUUCAAACUGGAUAUCUAGAGUGCAGGAGAGGAGAAUGGAAUUCCUAGUGUAGCGGUGAAAUGCGUAGAGAUUAGGAAGAACACCAGUGGCGAUGGCGAUUCUCUGGACUGUAACUGACGCUGAGGCACGAAAGCGUGGGUAGCAAACAGGAUUAGAUACCCUGGUAGUCCACGCCGUAAACGAUGAGUACUAGGUGUAGGAGGUAUCGACCCCUUCUGUGCCGCAGUAAACACAUUAAAGUACUCCGCCUGGGG
RNAcentral lists this ribosomal RNA (508 nucleotides) under uncultured bacterium. RNAcentral's name for it is "partial 16S ribosomal RNA". It matches the Rfam family "Bacterial small subunit ribosomal RNA", at positions 355 to 878 of the family's 1533-position model. The record is from RNAcentral.